CAAGUCGACGCUGAAGCCCAGCUUGCUGGGUGGAUGAGUGGCGAACGGGUGAGUAACACGUGGGUAAUCUGCCCUGUACUCUGGGAUAAGCCUGGGAAACUGGGUCUAAUACCGGAUAGGACAUUCCACCGCAUGGUGGGGUGUGGAAAGCUCCGGCGGUACAGGUUGAGCCCGCGGCCUAUCAGCUUGUUGGUGGGGUGAUGGCCUACCAAGGCGACGACGGGUAGCCGGCCUGAGAGGGUGACCGGCCACACUGGGACUGAGACACGGCCCAGACUCCUACGGGAGGCAGCAGUGGGGAAUAUUGCACAAUGGGCGCAAGCCUGAUGCAGCGACGCCGCGUGGGGGAUGACGGCCUUCGGGUUGUAAACCCCUUUCGCCAGGGACGAAGCGAGAGUGACGGUACCUGGAGAAGAAGCACCGGCCAACUACGUGCCAGCAGCCGCGGUAAUACGUAGGGUGCAAGCGUUGUCCGGAAUUAUUGGGCGUAAAGAGCUCGUAGGCGGUGUGUCACGUCUGCCGUGAAAACCUGCGGCUUAACCGUGGGCGUGCGGUGGAUACGGGCAUCACUUGAGUUCGGUAGGGGAGACUGGAAUUCCUGGUGUAGCGGUGGAAUGCGCAGAUAUCAGGAGGAACACCGGUGGCGAAGGCGGGUCUCUGGGCCGAUACUGACGCUGAGGAGCGAAAGCGUGGGGAGCGAACAGGAUUAGAUACCCUGGUAGUCCACGCCGUAAACGUUGGGCGCUAGGUGUGGGGCGCUGUUCACGUGUCCCGUGCCGUAGCUAACGCAUUAAGC
This 796-nucleotide ribosomal RNA is filed under the name Saccharomonospora sp. ZZY-2013. Its description in RNAcentral is "bacterial SSU rRNA". It matches the Rfam family "Bacterial small subunit ribosomal RNA", at positions 58 to 865 of the family's 1533-position model. Lineage: Bacteria; Bacillati; Actinomycetota; Actinomycetes; Pseudonocardiales; Pseudonocardiaceae. The record is from RNAcentral.